Long non-coding RNA from Helianthus annuus (common sunflower), 853 nucleotides. RefSeq lists it as uncharacterized. The record is from RefSeq and is a predicted model, not a curated record. Lineage: Eukaryota; Viridiplantae; Streptophyta; Magnoliopsida; Asterales; Asteraceae. The transcript has 3 exons.
ACCCCCACACCCUUCUCGGCAAAGAUCAGUGACACCCCCACCCCCUCGCUUGAACAGAAACGACCACCACCACCACAGUCUGGUGGUGGUGCGGCGGCGGAGAUAGAAACAGGAGAGAGAGAGAGAGAGCUGAAGAGAUGAGAGAGAGGCGAGACAGAGAGAGAGAGAACGGCGAUGAGAGAAGAGGGCGACGGCUGCGGCACCGCCGCAGACGGCGGCGACAGUGGGCAGCGGUGAUGGUGGUUCAGCAGAGCUGGGUACUCGACUCAACUCCAGCGGGUGUGGUUCGGCUCGGUUCUGGUUCAGGUCACAUCUCGGCUCAGGUUAUAUGGUUUCGGCUCACCAGUGGGUGUUUCGGGACUUAGUUGGUUUCUUGCGGGUCAGAUUUCGGGAGUUUCGGGUUUCACGGUAACUCGGUUCGGGUCCAGGUCAAACAGUCAACAGUUUGGUUCGAGUUGUUUUGGAGCGGCUCGGUUUCGGGUCAGACUGGUUCGGGUCAACACGAGUCUUGGUUCAGUCCGGGUGGCUCGAGUUUCGCGGCACAGUCGGUUCAAGUCAACUCAGAAAGCUGACUCGGUCAACUCAGCGAGUUGACUCAGUCAACCCCGCCGGUCAACACAGUUGACCCGGUCAACUCGGUCAACCCUGAGUCCACACGAGUCAACUCAGUUCGGUUCUGGUCAACCACGGUCAACUCAAAGACCCGGAAUACUAUAGUUGUACGCUAGCUAAUUCAAGUUCUUGGAACAACCUCACGGAAUCACACUAAGCUAGCUUUGCACAGGAAAAUUCAGGUUGCAUUUUCAAAACUAUGGAACGGUUGGAAUAGGAGAACCCAUGGGAAUUCGAGUAC